AAGCACGCCGGUCGCGCAAAGGAACAGUGU
RNAcentral lists this small RNA (30 nucleotides) under Sinorhizobium meliloti 2011. Its description in RNAcentral is "putative ncRNA". The record is from RNAcentral. Lineage: Bacteria; Pseudomonadati; Pseudomonadota; Alphaproteobacteria; Hyphomicrobiales; Rhizobiaceae.